Molecule: ribosomal RNA, 430 nt
Filed under: uncultured bacterium
Lineage: Bacteria
Description: bacterial SSU rRNA
Rfam family: Bacterial small subunit ribosomal RNA
Source: RNAcentral
UACGGAAGGCAGCAGUGGGGAAUAUUGGACAAUGGGCGAAAGCCUGAUCCAGCCAUGCCGCAUGAGUGAAGAAGGCCUUCGGGUUGUAAAGCUCUUUUAGUGAGAAAGAUAAUGACGGUACUCACAGAAGAAGUCCUGGCUAACUCCGUGCCAGCAGCCGCGGUAAUACGGAGAGGGCUAGCGUUAUUCGGAAUUAUUGGGCGUAAAGAGCGCGUAGGCUGAUUAGUAGUUAAAAGUGAAAUCCCAAAGCUUAACUUUGGAAUUGCUUUUUAAAACUGCUAGUCUAGAGAUUGAAAGAGGAUAGAGGAAUUCCUAGUGUAGAGGUGAAAUUCGUAAAUAUUAGGAGGAACACCAGUGGCGAAGGCGUCUAUCUGGUUCAAAUCUGACGCUGAGGCGCGAAGGCGUGGGGAGCAAACAGGGAUUAGAUACC